AACGACUCUCGGCAACGGAUAUCUUGGCUCUCGCAUCGAUGAAGAACGCAGCAAAAUGCGAUACUUGGUGUGAAUUGCAGAAUCCCGUGAAUCAUCGAGUUUUUGAACGCAAGUUGCGCCCGAAGCCUUUUGGUGGAGGGCACGUCUGCCUGGGUGUCACGC
Molecule: ribosomal RNA, 162 nt
Filed under: Plukenetia lehmanniana
Lineage: Eukaryota; Viridiplantae; Streptophyta; Magnoliopsida; Malpighiales; Euphorbiaceae
Description: 5.8S ribosomal RNA
Rfam family: 5.8S ribosomal RNA
About the family: 5.8S ribosomal RNA (5.8S rRNA) is a component of the large subunit of the eukaryotic ribosome.
Source: RNAcentral